Molecule: ribosomal RNA, 248 nt
Filed under: Euscorpius arikani
Lineage: Eukaryota; Metazoa; Arthropoda; Arachnida; Scorpiones; Euscorpiidae
Description: partial 16S large subunit ribosomal RNA
Source: RNAcentral
CUAUUAAGCUUUAUAAUUAUAAUUUAAUAUCAACAUAAAUUAAAGAUUAUUUUACUGGGGCAGUAUAUAAAUAAAAUUUUAUUUUAACAAUAUGAAUUUAAUACUUGAAAAACCAAAAAUUUUUUAAAAAAGAAUAAGUUACUAUAGGGAUAACAGCAUAAUUUUCUUUAAGAGUUCUUAUCAUCAAGAAAGUUUGUGACCUCGAUGUUGGAUUAAGAUACCUAUUUCAUGCNAUAAUAAAAUAAGGA